CUUCAUGUGACAUACUACAUUAGUCAGCACAUGACAUCAGAAAAAUACUAUUGAAUUGAUUGUAUCUAAAUAAUUAUCAUGGACCUAUUUAAUCUGACAACUCAUUACCAAAGCUUCAAGAUGCUGAAAGUUAAAUCAGGCCAUUGGUUCUUUUCCUGAACCUGAGGGAGCCUCAGGGGAUAAGCCUAAAUUGUUUGUCUGCUGUGGAUCCCAUUGAGAGGCUGUGCUCACCCCUCAAGGCUCCUGAGCUGUGAGGGAAGCCAGGAUUCCUGAGAGUGAGCAGCCCCAAAGGGAAAUGACAGGCCUGAGGGCUGCCACAAAGUAAGCAGUUGUUCUCUGCAAUGCCCUUCCACCAAGAUGUUCCUGCCUAGACCCAGCCGGUCAUGGGCUAAACUUCUGAAUUUGUGAGCCCUAAUAAACCUCUCUUAGCUUUA
Molecule: long non-coding RNA, 434 nt
Organism: Heterocephalus glaber (naked mole-rat)
Lineage: Eukaryota; Metazoa; Chordata; Mammalia; Rodentia; Bathyergidae
Source: Ensembl